Molecule: ribosomal RNA, 492 nt
Filed under: uncultured bacterium
Lineage: Bacteria
Description: partial 16S ribosomal RNA
Rfam family: Bacterial small subunit ribosomal RNA
Source: RNAcentral
AGUGAACGCUGGCGGUAGGCCUAACACAUGCAAGUCGAACGGCAGCACAGUAAGAGCUUGCUCUUACGGGUGGCGAGUGGCGGACGGGUGAGGAAUACAUCGGAAUCUACUUUUUCGUGGGGGAUAACGUAGGGAAACUUACGCUAAUACCGCAUACGACCUACGGGUGAAAGCAGGGGAUCUUCGGACCUUGCGCGAUUGAAUGAGCCGAUGUCGGAUUAGCUAGUUGGCGGGGUAAAGGCCCACCAAGGCGACGAUCCGUAGCUGGUCUGAGAGGAUGAUCAGCCACACUGGAACUUAGACACGGUCCAGACUCCUACGGGCGGCAGCAGUGGGGAAUAUUGGACAAUGGGCGCAAGCCUGAUCCAGCCAUACCGCGUGGGUGAAGAAGGCCUUCGGGUUGUAAAGCCCUUUUGUUGGGAAAGAAAAGCAGCAGGUUAAUACCCCGCUGUUCUGACGGUACCCAAAGAAUAAGCACCGGCUAACUUCGUG